GGGGAAUCUUCCGCAAUGGACGAAAGUCUGACGGAGCAACGCCGCGUGAGUGAUGACGGCCUUCGGGUUGUAAAGCUCUGUUAAUCGGGACGAAAGGCCUUCUUGCGAACAGUUAGAAGGAUUGACGGUACCGGAAUAGAAAGCCACGGCUAACUACGUGCCAGCAGCCGCGGUAAUACGUAGGUGGCAAGCGUUGUCCGGAAUUAUUGGGCGUAAAGCUCGCGCAGGCGGAUCAGUCAGUCUGUCUUAAAAGUUCGGGGCUUAACCCCGUGAUGGGAUGGAAACUGCUGAUCUAGAGUAUCGGAGAGGAAAGUGGAAUUCCUAGUAUAGCGGUGAAAUGCGUAGAUAUUAGGAAGAACACCAGUGGCGAAGGCGACUUUCUGGACGAAAACUGACGCUGAGGCGCGAAAGCCAGGGGAGCGAACGGGAUUAGAUACCCCGGUAGUCCUGGCCGUAAACGAUGGGUACUAGGUGUAGGAGGUAUCGACCCCUUCUGUGCCGGAGUUAACGCAAUAAGUACCCCGCCUGGGGAGUACGACCGCAAGGUUG
This 549-nucleotide ribosomal RNA is filed under the name uncultured bacterium. Its description in RNAcentral is "bacterial SSU rRNA". It matches the Rfam family "Bacterial small subunit ribosomal RNA", at positions 356 to 896 of the family's 1533-position model. The record is from RNAcentral.